Molecule: ribosomal RNA, 450 nt
Filed under: uncultured bacterium
Lineage: Bacteria
Description: bacterial SSU rRNA
Rfam family: Bacterial small subunit ribosomal RNA
Source: RNAcentral
UCAAGAAACUUCCACAAUGGGCGAAAGCCUGAUGGAGCGACGUCGCGUGAUGGACGAAGUGCUUCGGCACGUAAACAUCUUUUAUGUGGGAUGAAAUUAUUGACAGUACCACAUGAAUAAGGGGCUCCUAACUCUGUGCCAGCAGGAGCGGUAAUACAGAGGCCCCAAGCGUUAUCCGGAAUCACUGGGCGUAAAGGGUGUCGAGGCGGUUGUAUUAGUCGUUCGUAAAAUCUACGAGCUUAACUUGUAGGCGGCGAACGAAACGGUACGACUUGAGGUUUGGAGAGGUGCGUGGAACUCACGGUGUAGGGGUGAAAUCCGUUGAUAUCGUGGGGAACACCAAAGGCGAAGGCAGUGCACUGGUACAUUCCUGACUCUGAGAUGCGAAAGCGUGGGGAGCAAACAGGAUUAGAUACCCUUGUAGUCCCUGAGCGGGCUGGCAAGGCGCAU